Molecule: ribosomal RNA, 497 nt
Filed under: uncultured bacterium
Lineage: Bacteria
Description: partial 16S ribosomal RNA
Rfam family: Bacterial small subunit ribosomal RNA
Source: RNAcentral
GAUGAACGCUGGCGGCGUGCCUAAUACAUGCAAGUCGAGCGAACGGACGAGGAGCUUGCUCCUCUGACGUUAGCGGCGGACGGGUGAGUAACACGUGGAUAACCUACCUAUAAGACUGGGAUAACUUCGGGAAACCGGAUCUAAUACCGGAUAAUAUAUUGAACCGCAUGGUUCAAUAGUGAAAGACGGUUUUGCUGUCACUUAUAGAUGGAUCCGCGCCGCAUUAGCUAGUUGGUAAGGUAACGGCUUACCAAGGCAACGAUGCGUAGCCGACCUGAGAGGGUGAUCGGCCACACUGGAACUGAGACACGGUCCAGACUCCUACGGGAGGCAGCAGUAGGGAAUAUUCCGCAAUGGGCGAAAGCCUGACGGAGCAACGCCGCGUGAGUGAUGAAGGUCUUCGGAUCGUAAAACUCUGUUAUUAGGGAAGAACAAAUGUGUAAGUAACUAUGCACGUCUUGACGGUACCUAAUCAGAAAGCCACGGCUAACUACGUG